This 508-nucleotide ribosomal RNA is filed under the name Tardiomyces blankii. Its description in RNAcentral is "[Candida] blankii partial 26S ribosomal RNA". It matches the Rfam family "Eukaryotic large subunit ribosomal RNA", at positions 78 to 596 of the family's 3401-position model. Lineage: Eukaryota; Fungi; Ascomycota; Dipodascomycetes; Dipodascales; Trichomonascaceae. The record is from RNAcentral.
CUCUAGUAACGGCGAGUGAAGCAGCCAAAGCUCAAAUUUGAAAGCUCCUAACAAGGCGCAUUGUAAUUUGAAGAUGGUAUUCCGAGUUAGUCCUUUACCUCAGUUCCUUGGAACAGGACGCCAUAGAGGGUGAGAGCCCCGUGUGGUAUUGGUAGCUUUCUCAUGUGGUUUACCUUCGAAGAGUCGAGUUGUUUGGGAAUGCAGCUCUAAGUGGGUGGUAAAUUCCAUCUAAAGCUAAAUAUUGGCGAGAGACCGAUAGCGAACAAGUACUGUGAAGGAAAGAUGAAAAGAACUUUGAAAAGAGAGUGAAAAAGUACGUGAAAUUGUUGAAAGGGAAGGGAAUUGGACUAGACUUGGAUUUCUGUUAUCAGCAGUCUUUCGGGGCUGUGCACUAGCAGUUUUCUAGGCCAGGAUCUGUUUGGAGGCCAGGAUAAAACCCAAAGAAUGUGGCUCUUCGGAGUGUUAUAGCUUUGGUUGAAUACUGGCAUUCUGGACAGAGGACCGCGCU